This 586-nucleotide ribosomal RNA is filed under the name uncultured bacterium. RNAcentral's name for it is "partial 16S ribosomal RNA". It matches the Rfam family "Bacterial small subunit ribosomal RNA", at positions 355 to 1375 of the family's 1533-position model. The record is from RNAcentral.
UGGGGAAUUUUGGACAAUGGGCGAAAGCCUGAUCCAGCAAUGCCGCGUGUGUGAAGAAGGCCUUCGGGUUGUAAAGCACUUUUGUCCGGAAAGAAAUCCUUGGCUCUAAUACAGUCGGGGGAUGACGGUACCGGAAGAAUAAGCACCGGCUAACUACGUGCCAGCAGCCGCGGUAAUACGUAGGGUGCAAGCGUUAAUCGGAAUUACUGGGCGUAAAGCGUGCGCAGGCGGUUUGCUAAGACCGAUGUGAAAUCCCCGGGCUCAACCUGGGAACUGCAUUGGUGACUGGCAGGCUAGAGUAUGGCAGAGGGGGGUAGAAUUCCACGUGUAGCAGUGAAAUGCGUAGAGAUGUGGAGGAAUACCGAUGGCGAAGGCAGCCCCCUGGGCCGAUACUGACGCUCAUGCACGAAAGCGUGGGGAGCAAACAGGAUUAGAUACCCUGGUAGUCCACGCCCUAAACGAUGUCAACUAGUUGUUGGGGAUUCAUUUCCUUAGUAACGUAGCUAACGCGUGAAGCUGACCGCCUGGGGGAGUACGGUCGCAAGAUUAAAACUUAAAUGAAUUGACGGGGUCAUAGCUGUUUCCU